This 449-nucleotide ribosomal RNA is filed under the name uncultured bacterium. RNAcentral's name for it is "SSU rRNA". It matches the Rfam family "Bacterial small subunit ribosomal RNA", at positions 26 to 518 of the family's 1533-position model. The record is from RNAcentral.
AGAACGAACGCUGGCGGCAGGCUUAACACAUGCAAGUCGAACGGUUGUAGCAAUACAGCAGUGGCGCACGGGUGAGUAACGCGUGGGAACAUCCCUUUCAGUUCGGAAUAACCUCGGGAAACUGAGGCUAAUACCGGAUAUUCUCUUCGGAGGAAAGAUUUAUCGCUGAAAGAUUGGCCCGCGUCAGAUUAGCUAGUUGGUGGGGUAAUGGCCUACCAAGGCUCCGAUCUGUAGCUGGUCUGAGAGGACGACCAGCCACACUGGAACUGAGACACGGUCCAGACUCCUACGGGAGGCAGCAGUGGGGAAUAUUGGACAAUGGGCGAAAGCCUGAUCCAGCCAUGCCGCGUGAAUGAUGAAGGCCUUAGGGUUGUAAAGUUCUUUUGCCAGGGAAGAUAAUGACGGUACCUGGAGAAUAAGCACCGGCUAACUUCGUCGCCAGCAGCCGC